AGGAAGCACGUAGGGUGGCGCAUCCAGUUUAUUAUUAUUAAUGAUUAUUGUUUAUUUCAUUUGUUUGCUAAGUGUGGAUGCUGUCAAUGCCACAAAGAGCAUUUAAUUGAGUAUUUGGGGGGGAGGGAGAAGGAAUGAAGGGAAACAAGAGAGGGAAUAUAUAACUGUGGCAUGAUAUUUUCCCCCAAAACCAAGGUUUGUGAAUUCAACAUCAUGCAUAGCAGCUAAGGAGUAAACAUUCUACCUUAUACAUCAAGAUCCUUUUGCAGUCUGGGCAGAGACUUCAGACAGGAACCCUCACCUGCAUCUCUGCCUGCAAUCAGGCAGCUAGGGUGUAAUAGGAUAUCUUAAUGAGCCUAACUGACAACAUGCAACCCUGAAUCCCAGAGACCAGAGAGAGAAACCAGCAGUAGGAAAGCAGACAGAAGUGGUAAAGGAACUGCAGCUCCUGCUGCCACUCUGGAUUUCUCAGCCUUCCAGACUGAUAAGAAGGGUUGAUUCUGGUGUGCUGAAUCAAUGUUACUUAUGAGAGGCUGGUAACCACUGGAAGUAAUUGAAGGGCAAUUGCUGAAGCGAAAUCAGCAAUGCAUCAGUGCUGCAGCAUUCUAUGAUAUUUUGCAGGAGGUCUUUUCCAUAUCAUUUGUGCUAGAAAAACUGAGAGGCCUCAGGGACAAUGAGCUAGUAUAAAUAAAGCUUCAGAUAGGACCUACAAUACCUUUAGGAGGAAAAGUAUAUACAGUGGAGAAUUUUGGUAA
This is a long non-coding RNA of Chrysemys picta bellii (western painted turtle), 755 nucleotides long. RefSeq lists it as uncharacterized. The record is from RefSeq and is a predicted model, not a curated record. NCBI's taxonomy places the organism in Eukaryota, Metazoa, Chordata, Testudines, Emydidae.